AGCAGCCGCGGUAAUUCCAGCUCCAAUAGCGUAUAUUAAAGUUGUUGCAGUUAAAAAGCUCGUAGUUGAAUUUCGAGACCGGUUUACUGGUCGUGCUUUUGUACGUACUGGUAUUAUUGGUUUCUCCUUUCUGACGAAUCUUAAUGCCAUUAAUUUGGUGUUUUGGGGAAUCAGGACUGUUACUUUGAAAAAAUUAGAGUGUUUAAAGCAGGCUCACGCUUGAAUACAUUAGCAUGGAAUAACGAAAUAUGACGUUUGAUUUUAUUUUGUUGGUUUCUAGGAUCGACGUAAUGAUUAAUAGGGAUAGUUGGGGGCAUUAGUAUUCAAUUGUCAGAGGUGAAAUUCUUGGAUUUAUUGAAGACUAACUACUGCGAAAGCAUUUGCCAAGGAUGUUUUCAUUAAUCAAGAACGAAAGUUAGGGGAUCGAAGACGAUCAGAUACCGUCGUAGUCUUAACCAUAAACUAUGCCGACUAGGGAUCGGAUGAUGUUAAUUUUUAAUGACUCAUUCGGCGCCUUACG
This 520-nucleotide ribosomal RNA is filed under the name uncultured Glomus. RNAcentral's name for it is "SSU rRNA". It matches the Rfam family "Eukaryotic small subunit ribosomal RNA", at positions 569 to 1092 of the family's 1831-position model. Lineage: Eukaryota; Fungi; Glomeromycota; Glomeromycetes; Glomerales; Glomeraceae. The record is from RNAcentral.